RNAcentral lists this non-coding RNA (96 nucleotides) under unclassified sequences. Its description in RNAcentral is "PhotoRC-II RNA". It matches the Rfam family "PhotoRC-II RNA". The record is from RNAcentral.
GAUAAUUAAAAUACUCCCCAAACCGAGACCUACAGGGAGAAUAAAUUACGUCUCUCAUAUCCGUAAGUGAAGGGAUUUACGGAAAUAUAAGUUUCG